This 440-nucleotide ribosomal RNA is filed under the name uncultured bacterium. RNAcentral's name for it is "partial 16S ribosomal RNA". It matches the Rfam family "Bacterial small subunit ribosomal RNA", at positions 338 to 795 of the family's 1533-position model. The record is from RNAcentral.
CCUACGAGAGUCAGCAGUAGGGAAUAUUGCUCCAUGGGGGAAACCCUGAAGCAGCCACGCCGCGUGGAGGAUGAAGGUUUUCGGAUUGUAAACUCCUUUUGUUAGAGACUAUAAUGACGGUAUCUAACGAAUACGCCCCGGCUAACUCCGUGCCAGCAGCCGCGGUAAUACGGAGGGUGCAAGCGUUACUCGGAAUCACUGGUCGUAAAGAGCGCGUAGGCGGGAUAGCAAGUCAGAUGUGAAAUCCUAUGGAUUAACCAUAGAACUGCAUUUGAAACUGUUAUUCUAGAGUAUGGGAGAGGUAGGUGGAAUUCUUGGUGUAGGGGUAAAAUCCGUAGAGAUCAAGAGGAAUACUCAUUGCGAAGGCGACCUGCUAGAACAUAACUGACGCUGAUGCGCGAAAGCGUGGGGAGCAAACAGGAUUAGAUACCCCUGUAGUC